Molecule: ribosomal RNA, 466 nt
Filed under: Vreelandella stevensii
Lineage: Bacteria; Pseudomonadati; Pseudomonadota; Gammaproteobacteria; Oceanospirillales; Halomonadaceae
Description: partial 16S ribosomal RNA
Rfam family: Bacterial small subunit ribosomal RNA
Source: RNAcentral
CCUACGUGCUGCAGCAGUGGGGAAUAUUGGACAAUGGGCGAAAGCCUGAUCCAGCAAUGCCGCGUGUGUGAAGAAGGCCUUCGGGUUGUAAAGCACUUUCAGUGGGGAAGAAAGCCUUGGGGCUAAUACCCUCGAGGUAUGACAUUACCUACAGAAUAAGCACCGGCUAACUCCGUGCCAGCAGCCGCGGUAAUACGGAGGGGUGCGAGCGUUAAUCGGAAUUACUGGGCGUAAAGCGCGCGUAGGCGGUCUGAUAAGCCGGUUGUGAAAGCCCCGGGCUCAACCUGGGAACGGCAUCCGGAACUGUCAGGCUAGAGUGCAGGAGAGGAUAGUAGAAUUCCCGGUGUAGCGGUGAAAUGCGUAGAGAUCGGGAGGAAUACCAGUGGCGAAGGCGGCCAUCUGGACUGACACUGACGCUGAGGUGCGAAAGCGUGGGUAGCAAACAGGAUUAGAUACCCUGGUAGUC